Molecule: ribosomal RNA, 1496 nt
Filed under: uncultured Bordetella sp.
Lineage: Bacteria; Pseudomonadati; Pseudomonadota; Betaproteobacteria; Burkholderiales; Alcaligenaceae
Description: partial 16S-23S ribosomal RNA intergenic spacer
Rfam family: Bacterial small subunit ribosomal RNA
Source: RNAcentral
UGGGAACAUCAGGUAUGCUGGGAGUCAGGUCCUGGCUCAGAUUGAACGCUGGCGGGAUGCUUUACAUCUUAAGUGGAGCAGCCGCGCAGACUGGUCCUGGUGGCGAGUGGCGAACGGGUGAGUAAUGUAUCGGAACGUGCCUAGUAGCGGGGAUAACUACGCGAAAGCGUAGCUAAUGCCACAUACGCCCUUCGAGGAAAGCGGGGGACCUUCGGGCCUCGCACUAUUAGAGCGGCCGAUAUCGGAUUAGCUAGUUGGUGGGGUAACGGCUCACCAAGGCGACGAUCCGUAGCUGGUUUUGAGAGGACGACCAGCCACACUGGGACUGAGACACGGCCCAGACUCCUACGGGAGGCAGCGAUGGGGAAUUUUGGACAAUGGGGAAACCCUGAUCCAGCCAUCCCGCGUGUGCGAUGAAGGCCUUCGGGUUGUAAAGCACUUUUGGCAGGAAAGAAACGGCACGGGAUAAUACCCGUGCAGCCGGUCACCUGCAGAAUAAGCACCGGCUAACUACGUGCCAGCAGCCGCGGUAAUACGUAGGAGUGCAAGCGUUAAUCGGAAUUACUGGGCGUAAAGCGUGCGCAGGCGGUUCCCGGAAAAGAAAGAUGUGAAAUCCCAAAGAGCUUAACACGGGUGCUGCACGUUUAACCCGAGCUAGAGUGUGUCAGAGGGAGGUGGAAUUCCGCGUGUAGCAGUGAAAUGCGUAGAUAUGCGGAGGAACACCGAUGGCGAGGGCAGCCUCCUGGGAUAACACUGACGCUCAUGCACGGCGUGGGAGUAAGGCAGGUUAGUCACCUGGUAGUCCACGCCCUAAACGAUGUCAACUAGCUGUUGGGGCCUUCGGGCCUUGGUAUGACUAACGCGUGAAGUUGACCGCCUGGGGAGUACAGUCGCAAGAUUAAAACUCAAAGGAAUUGACGGGGACCGCACAAGCGGUGGAUGAUGUGGAUUAAUUCGGUACAACGCGAAAAACCUUACCUACCUUGACAUGUCUGGAAUCCCGAAGGGAAUUUGGGAGUGCUCGCAAGAGCCGGAGCUGGGUGCUGCAUGGCUGUAGUCAAAGCUCGUGUCGUGAGAUGUUGGGUUAAGUCCCGCAACGAGCGCAACCCUUGUCAUUAGUUGCUUUACGAAAGGGCACUCUAAUGAGACUGCCAGUGAUCAAACCGGAGGAAGGUGAGGGAUGACGUCAAGUCCUCAUGGCCCUUAUGGGUAGGGCUUCACACGUCAUACAAUGGUCGGGACAGAGGGUCGCCAACCCGCGAGGGGAGCCAAUCCCAGAAACCCGAUCGUAGUCCGGAUCGCAGUCUGCAACUCGACUGCGUGAAAGUCGAAAUCGCUAGUAAUCGCAGAUCAGCGUAAUAAGGUGAAUACGUUCGGGUCUUGUACACACCGCCCGUCGCACCAUGGGAGUGGGUUUACCAGAAGUAGUUAGCCUAACCGUAAGGAGGGCGAUUACCACGGUAGGAUUCAUGACUGAGUUGAAGUCGUAGCAAGGU